RNAcentral lists this ribosomal RNA (200 nucleotides) under uncultured archaeon. Its description in RNAcentral is "partial 16S ribosomal RNA". It matches the Rfam family "Archaeal small subunit ribosomal RNA", at positions 531 to 730 of the family's 1478-position model. The record is from RNAcentral.
GCGCAAGUCCAUCGGGAAAUCCACCCGCCCAACGGGUGGCCGUCCGGUGGAAACUGCACGGCUUGGGACCGGAAGGCGCGACGGGUACGUCCGGGGUAGGAGUGAAAUCCCGUAAUCCUGGACGGACCGCCGAUGGCGAAAGCACGUCGCGAGAACGGAUCCGACAGUGAGGGACGAAAGCCAGGUUCUCGAACCGGAUU